CAGUUCAGCUGUGUGACUGGAAGACCUCAUUUAAGAGCUGACUGCCACUGUAAUCUCUCUUGCUGGAGAUCCUUCCUUUGUGGAGUCCUUCUGUGAGUCUAGAUCUUUGGAGGUGGGGGAGCAUUCUUUCUGUAACAUCUCACUGUGUUGGUCCUGCUGCCGUUACAAUGAAGCUUGGGACAUGCACAAAACUCAGCUCCUCUGGAAAUCUGAAUGUCUGACAGAUUAAGAUGUGAGCUGGACAAUCAGAGGCAAAGUAACAUCUCUUUGUCAGCUAUUUAGCACUGAUGAUUGUAUGGAAAGGGUGACUUCGUAUUUUCCUUUAGGUAUUGCUCCAAACUGCAGACAACAAGCAGACUGCUUCAGUCACGCUCAAUUUCUGCGGCAGAAAGCUGAGCAAGUGCAAACGGUACCUUUCAAGAUAGCAGACUCUUCAGGCAUGGGGAUGCCUUAUUAGGAAGAUCCUUUUAAGCAGGCAGUGUGGCUAUUUGAUCAAAUGGCACUGGAAAGAAAAUGGACCAACUGAUUGAAAUUCCUUCUAGGCAGCUUUCUAUAAUUAGAUUUACAAUCAUAUUAUCUCUAUGUUUUCUACGGAGACCUCUGUCUAAACUUCAAAGGAUGUCUGUUUCCUUUUAAACAGUUCCACUAUCUACAUAUCAAACCUGUCAGCGUGCAGAAAUACUACAUGCCCUCUUCCUGUUCCAGGCCACAGCAAAAUUUACUUUGACAAAAAAAGGCAUAUGCCUCUGCUAAGACAUUACAAGUGCAGUAGUAGUCCGCUCCAGGAAUAUAUGCUGGGACUUGCUAGCAUUCCCAUGAAACAAGUUAAAAAAACAUAAUGGACUUCAGUGUUACCGCUACCGAAAAUAACCUACGAGGAAAAGAAAAGCAACUGUCUGAUGCAGUGCUGUAAAAUAUGCAAGAAAAAGGCCUCUUUCACAUUUUCAAAUUUAGCCAGAGAAAUAAACAGCACAAACUUGGCAGGACUGCCUUCAUUCCUCAUCCAUCAGACUUGUGACGGUUUCAAAAAGACAUUCAUGAGGAAACUAACACAGCGUCUCCUUGACACUAAGUGGAAUUUGAUAAAGCUUCAGAGUAGACAGCAUAUUGUUUGCAAUUGUAACUUUCCAAAUGAUAUAUGAGCUGCGUCUCUGAAUGCACAAUGCAGUCCAGUCCUACGUGAGAGAAAGGGGAAGACAUGGAAACAAGGUAGAAUCUGCUGCAAGAAGUGCCUGUGUGGAGGAGGAAUAGAGAAGUCUUGUCCCCUCCAACUAUUCCAACUUACUUAACACAACUGCAUGUUGUAUAAAUAAUUAAAAUUAACUAACUUUUAGAUGCUUGACUGACGGGUUGGUUUGGUGAGGAUUCUUCUGCUUCCACUACAGGCAAAGCAGUGUUUCAGAGAAUGCAGUCUGGGUUCAAUAAAUGGCUUUGUUUUAGUCAUGAGAUGCUUUCACGGGUGCAACCUCUGUUUGGAAGAGCUGAGGCUAUGAGGUACACCGCUGAAUACUGCAUUCCCUGUAAAUGUUGCCUUAUUAUUGGGAAAAAAAAAACACAACAACAAAAAGCACAUGAAAACAUUCAGCUCAAACUUUAUCACAUUUGAUAACCUGUGGCACAAUCUGAGACAAAUACAGGUUAGAAACAGUUGUUCUCAGUAAAAAAUAUACCAAACAAUUGUCAGAGAGAAAUAAACAGCAAACACCUGUGGGGAAGAGGAAAAUGACAGUUGUACUACCCAAUUAGCACCUGUGGAUCUUAAUUUCUUUUAAAUGGGGGUGGAGGUCAGCAAGAAAAUCUAGUGAAUCUUUAGUUCCUAUGCCUGACUUCGAUGUUUAACAAGAAAUAACAAAGCAAACCUCGUUUGGGAUAUUUUAUUUCUGUCACGUCAUAAAGAGAAAUACCUGACAGCAAAGGUGUGUGUUUCCUUGAAAGCUGCUGAUGGUAAUUACCGCAAUGAGUUAAAAUUUCUUUUGUAGCUGUUCAAGAGCCAGCAGUGAUCUGCCCAUAGGAUGUCACAUAGGUGAAACACAGAGAAAACGAGUGAGAGGUUUUUCAUUAGAAGCUGUUGUCUGCGUUCUGUCAGCACUCUCCACAAGCAGUAGCAACUGAGCACAUGGGGUUUUCUAUUAGAAAGUGAGCAGGC
This is a long non-coding RNA of Lagopus muta (rock ptarmigan), 2146 nucleotides long. RefSeq lists it as uncharacterized. The record is from RefSeq and is a predicted model, not a curated record. The transcript is spliced from 4 exons. Lineage: Eukaryota; Metazoa; Chordata; Aves; Galliformes; Phasianidae.